UUGGCAAGCCAGACAAUCGCUGCCCGACCACUUAAUCUAAGGAUUUUUAGCAAACGGUGUUUUAGAUGUUUAGAUUAAGUGGUCGGGGAGAGGAAAGUCCGGGCUACACAGGGCGACGUGCUAGCUAACGGCUAGGGGGCGCAAGCCUACGACCAGUGCAACAGAGAGCAGACCGCUCCGCUACCUUUUGAUAAUUUGCUGAUUAUAAAAGCAUUAAAGUUGUUAAAAGGUAGCGGAGUAAGGGUGAAAGGGUGCGGUAAGAGCGCACCGCAUGGCUGGCAACAGUUCAUGGCAGGGUAAACUCCACGUGUAGCAAGACCAAAUAGGAACUCAAUCGGUUGCCCGCCGAGAGUUCGGGUAGGUUGCUUGAGCGUGUUGGCGACAGCACGCCUAGAUGAAUGAUUGUCCACGACAGAACCCGGCUUAUCGGUUUGCCAAAAAU
This 442-nucleotide RNase P RNA is filed under the name Moraxella caviae. RNAcentral's name for it is "Bacterial RNase P class A". It matches the Rfam family "Bacterial RNase P class A". Rfam says of the family: Ribonuclease P (RNase P) is a ubiquitous endoribonuclease, found in archaea, bacteria and eukarya as well as chloroplasts and mitochondria. Its best characterised activity is the generation of mature 5'-ends of tRNAs by cleaving the 5'-leader elements of precursor-tRNAs. Cellular RNase Ps are ribonucleoproteins. The record is from Rfam by way of RNAcentral. Lineage: Bacteria; Pseudomonadati; Pseudomonadota; Gammaproteobacteria; Moraxellales; Moraxellaceae.